UACGGGGGGAGCAAGCGUUGUUCGGAUUUACUGGGCGUAAAGGGCGCGUAGGCGGCGCAACAAGUCAGUUGUGAAAUCUCCGGGCUUAACCCGGAAAGGUCAACUGAUACUGCAGGGCUAGAGUGCAGAAGGGGCAACUGGAAUUCUCGGUGUAGCGGUGAAAUGCGUAGAUAUCGAGAGGAACACCUGCGGCGAAGGCGGGUUGCUGGGCUGACACUGACGCUGAUGUGCGAAAGCCAGGGGAGCGAACGGG
This 253-nucleotide ribosomal RNA is filed under the name uncultured bacterium. RNAcentral describes it as "partial 16S ribosomal RNA". It matches the Rfam family "Bacterial small subunit ribosomal RNA", at positions 524 to 776 of the family's 1533-position model. The record is from RNAcentral.